ACAAUGGUCACCAGUACACACCUACACAUACACAAUGGUCACCAGUACACACUUACACAUACACAAUGGUCACCAGUACACACCUACACAUACACAAUGGUCACCAGUACACACCUACACAUACACAAUGGUCACCAGUACACACCUACACAUACACAACGGUCACCAGUACACACCUACACAUACACAACGGUCACCAGUACACACCUACACAUACACAACGGUCACCAGUACACACCUACACAUACACAACGGUCACCAGUACACACCUACACAUACACAACGGUCACCAGUACACACCUACACAUACACAACUGGAUUGCGGCACACUCUCCCUGCCACCCUAUGACAACCAUGCUGUCCCUAAGAGGCAACACCACCUAAUGCCAGGCCUGCUUCAUCAUGCCCAGUGUGAGUGGGUUCAGUCAUUCACUUUAGCUUUUUCUUCAGUGGGGCAGAUCUUGGUAGUCCUACCACAGCAUGGCAGGGUAUUGAACCGUGGUGAGCCGAGUUUGUUUCACUUUUUAUUGAUUUGGUUCUGAUUCAGUUGGCUUUGGUUUUCUAUUUCAAAAUGAACAGUUAGAUGUUUGAGCCGCGGACAAACGAGGUACAGUAACUAGGCAACCAUUCAGAGUAAACACAGAAUAAUUAUCUAAUUAUUAUCUAAUAUGACGUCGUAACGGGCAAGCUCUCUCUCUCGACUGCCUCAGUACCAUACAUUAUGACAGUUACAUAAUAAUGUGCAAAUAUGAGAAAAAAAAACUUAGCAGUGACUAACUCCUGCAAAAGUGAGGUACAACUAUUCAUACCAAACUAACUCAUAGGCCAAAUACCAGUCUACCUUUCAACAUAUCGAACAGACGUCUUCAUUUGUAUUAAAGGAAAUAUUCAACAUUGUGUUUGUUCAGAUAGCAAGCAAAAGCCCCUUUUCCCUGUAUCUCCUCCCCCUUCUUGUGUCCUCCUCUCCUCCACUUCUCCUCUGUCCUGGAGGACAUGGGCCCUUGGAACACGCCUGAGGUCUACCUGGCGUAAGGUCUACAUGGCCUGAGGUCUACCUGGCCUAAGGUCUACAUGGCCUGAGGUCUACCUGGCCUGAGGACUACCUGCCCUGAGGUCUACAUGGCCUGAGGACUACCUGCCCUGAGGUCUACCUGGCCUGAGGUCUACCUGCCCUGAGGACUACCUGGCCUGAGGACUACCUGCCCUGAGGUCUACAUGGCCUGAGGUCUACCUGCCCUGAGGACUACCUGGCCUGAGGACUACCUGCCCUGAGGUCUACAUGGCCUGAGGUCUACCUGGACUGAGGUCUACCUGGCCUGAGGUCUACCCGGCCUGAGGUCUACCUGCCCUGAGGACUACCUGGCCUGAGGACUACCUGGCCUGAGGACUACCUGGCCUGAGGACUACCUGCCCUGAGGUCUACCUGGCCUGAGGUCUACAUGGCCUGAGGUUUACCUGCCCUGAGGACUACCUGGCCUGAGGACUACCUGGCCUGAGGUCUACCUGGCCUGAGGACUUCUAGCUGUCUCUGUUCACCUAAUUAUGCUCCCGUUCCAAUUUCUGCUGUUCUGCCUGUGGCUACAGCACUUCUCUCUCUCAUUCUCCCUCUCUCUCUUUCAUUCUCCAUCUCUCUCUCUCUGUUCCUCUCCCCCCCACCCUCUCUAGCAGACCUGCUGUCUCAAUCUCUGAAUGCCCUGCUAUAAAAAGCCAAAUGACAUUUACUCAUGUGUUGCCGACUGGUUACACCCCCUGCUUGUAGGAUGUUUAACAUCUUGAAGUGCAAUCAGGAGUUGGCUAUUUUACUUACUCAAACAUGUCUUGGAAGCCCUGAAGGCAGAAAUGAAUGUGAUUGGCCAAUGUGCUUUACUGGUCAUGUACUCUUUCAAUCCCCAUGGCCCCCUGACCCCCCCAUAGCCCAACCCCACGGCCACCCCACAGGUUUUGGUGUGAAUGGUGUUGGUGUGAAUAGUGUUGGUGUGAAUGGUGUUGGUGUUAAUGGUGUUGCUGUUAAUGGUGUUGGUGUGAAUGGUGUUGGUGUGAAUGGUGUGGGGGCGAAUGGUUUUGGUGUGAAUAGUGUUGGUGUGAAUGGUGUUGGUGUGAAUUGUGUUGGUGCACAUGAUG
This is a long non-coding RNA of Esox lucius (northern pike), 2121 nucleotides long. The record is from Ensembl. Lineage: Eukaryota; Metazoa; Chordata; Actinopteri; Esociformes; Esocidae.